Capsicum annuum is the source of this 4978-nucleotide non-coding RNA. NCBI's taxonomy places the organism in Eukaryota, Viridiplantae, Streptophyta, Magnoliopsida, Solanales, Solanaceae. The record is from Rfam.
CAACCCCAGGUCAGGUGGGAUUACCCACUGACUUUAAGCAUAUCAAUAAAUGAAGAAAAAGAAACUUACAUAGAUUCCCUUAGUAAUAUCAAUAAAUGAAGAAAAAGAAACUUACAUAGAUUCCCUUAGUAAUAUCAAUAAAUGAAGAAAAAGAAACUUACAUAGAUUCCCUUAGUAAUGACAAGUGAACCGGGAACAACCCAGCCUUAGAAUCGGGUAGCUCUGUCUUCUGAAUUUUAGUCUGGAGAAGCGUCUUCAGAAAACCGAGCCCAAGUCCCCUGAAAGGGGGUGCCAGAGAGGGUAAGAGCCCUAAUGUACCCAGACCCUGUCAUACCAUGAGGCACUAUCUAUGAGUCGAGUUGUUUGGGAAUACAGCCCAAAUCGGGUAUUGAAUUCUGUCCAAGGCUAAAUACGGGCGAGAGACCGAUAGCUAACAAGUACCGUGAGGAAAAAAUGAAAAGGACUAUAAAAGAGAUUCAAAGAGUGCUUGAAAUUAUCGGGAGCAAAGAGGAUGAGGCCUGGCGAUGUGCCUUGAUCAGAUAUGGAAUGGCGAUGAGUCGAUCCAUUGAUCGUCUCGGUGCGUGGACUAGCGUGGUUUGGGGGCGGCCAAAACUCAGGUUCUCAAUAUGCUUGUUGAACAUUUUCUCCUUGAUUUUGGUAGGCAGUGCACGUCUCUGACAUUCUUCAGCAUAUGUGUGCUUUGGACGCUGGCCUGUGGACUCCCCAUUCGACUCGUCUUGAAAUACGGAACAAGGAGUUUGACAUAUGUGCGAUUCAACGGUCGAGGAAACCCAUAAGGAGUAAGGAAGAUGAUUGGUGGGUGAUGUGCGAGAAAAAGUUAACACAUUUAAUGCUUUUUGGCUCAAAACAAUUGUGAAAUCUUCAGUAACUUUUGUUAUUUUGAUGUGUUUUCUAGUGAAUUUGCAGAAAAAGGUAAAAAGAUGGAAAAUAAACAACAUCGGAGAAAAAGAGUUGAAAACUGAGAAAAAAGGAGAAAGAGGCAUGGCUGACGACAUCAUUGAUAUGUCGUCAGCCCUGUGAUAGGAUACCAGAAGCGGCGUCAUCCAUAACUAGAGAGUUGAAGUUUGAGAGAAAGUUUUGACGACAUUGGUGAUAUGGUAUCAAAGAGAUAAUAAGGCGUCACGAUGGGCGUCAGCCUAAACUAGAGAAUUGAUCUUGAAGAAAAAAUCUAACGAUGUUGGUGAUACGCUGUCAGAUCGGUGAUGCAGAGUCAACUACAUCAUUAGCCUAAGACAAUUUUGAAGGCAAUUGGAGCAAUUCUGACGCCAUUCGUGAUAAGGCAUCAGAACCUUGACGUGGCGUCAGUGAUGGCGUCACCUAAUCCAAAGAAUUUUAUGAGUUUUGUUAUUUUAUUUCCAUAAUUAGGGUUAAGUAUAAAUAGCAUCUUUAAGGGUUUUAUUGACAAUCUUCUUUAAUCCUUUAAUAUCUUAAUAUUUUUUUUGGGAACCUUGGAUACAUUGUUUUCUUUGAACACUUAUCAACUAUUUGUGUAUUUUUGUUUUUGUGAUUCAAUUGAAGGAGCGACUAGUUGUUUUUCAUACGUUCCUAAGUUUGCCCAUAUUAUGAUGAAUUCAACUUUUUCUUUCAUUCAUCAAAUCAUGAGCGGCUAAUUCCAUUAGCCGGAGUUAUGGAAUCCAUGGAGUAGGUUUUGACAUGUUGCUAGGUGUAACAGUUUCAAGAGUAGUAGAACAUCUUGAAAUUCUAUUGUUUUAACUAAAAUCUAGUGGUUGAAAACAUUAGAUUAUGCCUUAGGUUUUAUUUUCUUCUAACGAACAAAUAAACUAGAGGUCGUGAAUUAUCAACAGGGACUCAGAAGCUACCAACCUUUUGUUUAAUGAUUAAUGCCGUAACUGGAUUAAUCUACCUGAGAUAACAUCCUAUUGGAAAUAGAUAAGUUAUCUAAGUUCGAGAGAAUUAGAUAAUAAAUUGUCUGGUGAGGUCGAGAGAUAAGUCAAAUAGUAGAGUCGUUAGGGAUAUUCUGUAGUUCCUACUUACUCCAAGAAUCUCAAGCAUUACCUAGUAUCAGCCAAUUCCCGAAACCCAUGGUGAACAUAGCUCUGGUUUUCCAUUUAGAUUGAUUAUAAACACUAAAAUACUGAAAGUGAAAAUUCACUCAUUGUUAAACUUAACCCCCCAUUUUCGGAAACAUUAAACUACCAGUAAAGUAUUUCGUAAACAAAUUGAAUUUUACACCCUAUUCUCUAUAUGAUUCGACCCCAACCUAGUUGGGUUUUAUAUUGACAACAAUCGCUUACACCCAUUCAAGAGUGUAGUUUGAGCGUUAUCAAUGGGAUCUUCCUAAGGGGUGCACCGCCAACCGACCUUGAUAAUUUGAGAAGGCUUUGAGUGUAAGCGUACCUGUCGGGACUUCAAAGAUGGUGAACUAUGCCUACGCAAGGCAAAGCUAGAGGAAACUCUUGUGGAGGCCUGAAGCGAUAUGAACAUGCAAAUCAUUCAUCUGACUUGGGUAUAGGGGCGAAAGACUAAUCAAAUCAUCUAUUAUUUGGUUCCCUCUGAAGUUUCCCUCAGGAUGGAUGGAGCUCACGUGCGAGUUCUAUUGGGUAAAGCCAAUAAUUAGAGACCUCAGGGGUGCAACGACCUCAACCUAUUCUCAAACUUUAAAUAGGUAAGACGACGUGACUGCUUUGUUGAGUCGCACUACAAAAUCAAGAGCUUCAAGUGGGUCAUUUUUGUUAAGGAAAACUGGUGAUGCAGGAUGAACCGAAAGCUGAGCUACGGUGCCAAAAUGUACACUAACCUAGAUCCCACAAAUGGUGUUGGUCGAUUAAGAUAGUAGGAAGGUGUUCAUGGAAGUUGAAAUCCGCUAAGGAGUGUGGAACAACUCACCUGCCGAAUGAACUAGCUCGAAAUAGAUAACGUUCAAGCACGCAACCUACACCCCUCCGUCGGGGCAAGUUCCAGGCCUCGAUGAGUAGGAGGGCGCGGCGGUCACUGCAAAAACCAUGGGCGUGAGAUCGAGCUGAGCGGCCAUCGGUGCAGAUCUUAGUGGUAGUAGCAAAUAUUAAAAUUAGAACUUUGUAGGCCAAAGAGGGGAAAGGUUCCAUGUGAAUGGCACUUGCACAUGGGUUAGUCGAUCCUUAGGGUCAGGGGAACCCUAACAGAUAGUGCAUUUUGCGCAUACUCCAAAAGAAAAUUGUGUUUAAAUUUCUCAAAACUAGAGGUAGUGGUCGACAAAAAAUUAGAAUGUUCAGAGACGUCGGUGCGAGCCUCGGGAAAAGUUAUCCUUUCUAUUUAACAACCUGCCAAUCCUAGAAUCGGCUUAGUUGGAGUUAGGUUCAAGCUGCUGGAAGAGCACCGCACAUCGUGUGGUGUUCAGUGUGCUAUCAGCGGCCCUUGAAAAUAUGCAAGACCAAAUUCAGUCCACGCCCGAUCAUACUCAUAACUGUAUCAGGUCCCCAAGGUGAACAGCCUUUGGCUGAUGAAAUAAUGUAGGCAAAGGAAGUCAGCAAAAUGGAUCUGUAUCUUCGGGAAAAGGAUUAGAUCUGAGGGCUGGGCACAGGGGUCCCAAUCUUAAACCAUCAGAUAUCGGUGGAUUCCUUGAGCUGAUCCCAUGAUGAGAGCGGGUUUUCGUGGUUUUGCCAGGGGAUAGACUAGGAACGGUUCCUUCGGGGGCCUUCCCUGCUCAUCGAACAACCAAAUCAGAAUUGUUACAAACCAGGGAAAUCUGAUUGUUUAAUUAAAACAAGUAUUGUGAUGGUCCCAACAAAUGUUCUUCCAAUGUGAUUUCUGCCUAGUGCUCUGAAUUUCAAAGUAAAGAAAUUCAACCAAGAUCCAGUAAAUGGCGGGAGUAACUAUGACUCUAUUACGGUAGCCAAAUGCCUCAUGAUCUAAUUAGUGAUGCACAUGAAUAAAUUAACGAGAUUCCUAUUAUCCUUGUCUACUAUCCAACAAAACAACAACUAAGGGAACGAGCCUAGCAGAAUUAGCAGGGAAAGAAGACCCUAUUAAGCUUGACUCUAGUCCGACUUUAUAAAAUGACUUGAGAGGUAUAGUAUAAGUGGGAGACUAAAGGAGAAAGUGAAAUAGCACUACUUUUAAUGUUAUUUUACUUAUUUUGUGAAUCAAAAACGGGGCACUCCUCUUCUUUUUUGACCCAAGGCUCACUGUGUGGGCUUAUCCUGGCAGAAGACAUUAUUAGUUGGGGCGGCAUAUCUAUUAAAAGAUAAUGUAGGUGUCCUAUGAUAAGCUCAACAAGAAUAGAAAUAUCAUGUGGAACAGAAGGGUACAAGAUCGUUUGAUUAUGCUUUCCAAUACUAAUACGAACCAUGAAAGCGUGGCCUAAUGAUCCUUUAGAACUUCGAAAUUCGAAGCUAGAGGUGUCAGAAAAGUUACCACAGGGAUAACUGGCUUGUGGUAGCAAAGUGGUCAUAACGAAAUUGUUUUUUGAACUUUCGAUGUUGUGUCUUCCUAUCAUUGUGAAGUGAAAUUCACCAAGUAUUGGAUUGUUCAGCCAUUAAUAGGGAACGUGAGCUGGGUUUAAACCGCAGAGAGAGAGGUUAGUUUUACCCUAUUGAUGACAGUAUCUCAAUAGUAAUUCAACCUACUAUGAGAGGAACAGUUGACUCACAUAAUUGGCUAUCGCGCUUUAUUAAAAAGCCAGUGGCGCAAAACUACAGUUUUCUAGAUUAUGACUGAAUGCCUCUAAGUCAAAAUUUAGGAUAGAAUUGUUGCAUACGCCCGUAGUCCACUUAAUUAUUGCAUACGGCCACAGUCCACUUACCGACCCACAGUAGGUGCCUCGGCCUCUAAGGGCACGUAUCGUUGGCUAAGCCAUCACGGCAGGAGGGUCGUAGUGGCAGCCUUGAAGUACAAUUUCUAUGGAGCAUGGGUAGAAUCCUUUACAGAUGACUUAAAUACAUGAUGGGGUAUUAUAAGUGGCAGAUUGGCCUUGCUGCCACGAUCCACUGAGAUUCAACCCUUUAUCACUCCGGUUAGU